RNAcentral lists this ribosomal RNA (1464 nucleotides) under metagenome. RNAcentral's name for it is "bacterial LSU rRNA". It matches the Rfam family "Bacterial large subunit ribosomal RNA", at positions 1319 to 2911 of the family's 2925-position model. The record is from RNAcentral.
GCGUGAGAGACGCUCUCGCCGAAAGUCCAAGGGUUCCUGCGUAAAGUUAAUCUUCGCAGGGUUAGCCGGCUCCUAAGGCGAGGCCGAAAGGCGUAGUCGAUGGGAACGGGGUUAAUAUUCCCCGGCCAGCGGAUGGUGACGAAUCCCGUGUAUCGUACAGACUUAUCGGAUUGUCUGUGCGGUGAAGGGGUUCCAGGAAACAGCCCCGCGCACGACCGUACCCGAAACCGACACAGGUGGACUGGUAGAGUAUACCAAGGCGCUUGAGAGAACUCUGCUGAAGGAACUCGGCAAAUUGCCUCCGUAACUUCGGGAUAAGGAGGCCCCGGUCUUGGGCAACCAGGAUCGGGGGGCACAAGCCAGGGGGUGGCGACUGUUUAACAAAAACACAGGGCUCUGCGAAGUCAUGAAGACGACGUAUAGGGUCUGACGCCUGCCCGGUGCCGGAAGGUUAAGAGGAGAGGUGCAAGCUUUGAAUCGAAGCCCCGGUAAACGGCGGCCGUAACGAUAACGGUCCUAAGGUAGCGAAAUUCCUUGUCGGGUAAGUUCCGACCUGCACGAAGGGCGUAAGGACUUCCCCGCUGUCUCCAGCAGAGACUCAGUGAAAUUGAAUUCCCCGUGAAGAUGCGGGGUUCCUGCGGUUAGACGGAAAGACCCCGUGCACCUUUACUGCAACUUUGCGCUGGCAUUCGUGUCGGCAUGUGUAGGAUAGGUGGUAGGCAUUGAAGCGGGGGCGCCAGCCUUCGUGGAGCCAACCUUGAAAUACCACCCUUAUCGUCAUGGAUGUCUAACUGCGGUUCGACAGGAUCCAGGACAGCGCAUGGUGGGCAGUUUGACUGGGGCGGUCGCCUCCCAAAGAGUGACGGAGGCGCGCGAUGGUGGGCUCAGAGCGGUCGGAAAUCGCUCGUCGAGUGCAAUGGCAUAAGCCUGCCUGACUGCGAGACAGACAAGUCGAGCAGAGACGAAAGUCGGCCAUAGUGAUCCGGUGGUCCCGCGUGGAAGGGCCAUCGCUCAACGGAUAAAAGGUACGCCGGGGAUAACAGGCUGAUCUUCCCCAAGAGUCCAUAUCGACGGGAAGGUUUGGCACCUCGAUGUCGACUCAUCACAUCCUGGGGCUGGAGCAGGUCCCAAGGGUUCGGCUGUUCGCCGAUUAAAGUGGUACGUGAGUUGGGUUCAGAACGUCGUGAGACAGUUCGGUCCCUAUCUGCCGUGGGUGUUCGAGACUUGAGACGAUCUGUCCUUAGUACGAGAGGACCGGGAUGGACGCACCACUGGUGGACCUGUUGUCCUGCCAAGGGCAGUGCAGGGUAGCUAUGUGCGGACGGGAUAACCGCUGAAGGCAUCUAAGCGGGAAACCCACGUCAAAACAAGGUCUCACAAAAUAGAGCCGUGGUAGACGACCACGUCGAUAGGCCGGGUGUGUAAGGGCAGCAAUGUCUUCAGCUUACCGGUACUAAUAGCUCU